GUGUCAGCAGCCGCGGUAAUUAGAAACCCGCGUAGUCCGGAUUUAUUGGGCGUAAAGCGAGCGCAGGCGGUUUCUUAAGUCUGAUGUGAAAGCCCCCGGCUCAACCGGGGAGGGUCAUUGGAAGCUGGGAGACUUGAGUGCAGAAGAGGAGAGUGGAAUUCCAUGUGUAGCGGUGAAAUGCGUAGAUAUAUGGAGGAACACCAGUGGCGAAGGCGGCUCUCUGGUCUGUAACUGACGCUGAGGCUCGAAAGCGUGGGGAGCAAACAGGAUUAGAAACCCGCGUAGUCC
RNAcentral lists this ribosomal RNA (288 nucleotides) under uncultured prokaryote. Its description in RNAcentral is "partial 16S ribosomal RNA". It matches the Rfam family "Bacterial small subunit ribosomal RNA", at positions 505 to 796 of the family's 1533-position model. The record is from RNAcentral.